This 1884-nucleotide ribosomal RNA is filed under the name human gut metagenome. RNAcentral describes it as "bacterial LSU rRNA". It matches the Rfam family "Bacterial large subunit ribosomal RNA", at positions 3 to 1977 of the family's 2925-position model. The record is from RNAcentral.
UUAAGCUAAGAAGAGCGUAGGGAGAAUGCCUUGGCAUUAGGAGCCGACGAAGGACGUGAUAAGCUGCGAUAAGCUGCGGGGAUCAGCAAGUAUGAAUUGAUCCGCAGAUUUCCGAAUGGAGCAAUCCGUAUGUGUAUGCACAUACAUCAUAUACUGAAUCAAAUAGGUAUAUGAGGGGAACCGCCUGAACUGAAACAUCUAAGUAGGGCGAGGAAGAGAAAUCAACCGAGAUUCUGUGAGUAGUGGCGAGCGAAAGCGGAAGAGGCUAAACCAUAGGUAGCAAUACUUAUGGGGUUUCGGACAGCAUUUAGUAUUGAUAAUUUCUAGUUGAAACGUGUGGGAAAACGUACCGAAGAGUGUGAGAGUCACGUAAGCGAAAGAGAGAGUCAGCGAGCUGUAUCCAAAGUACCGCGGGACACGUGAAACCCCGUGGGAAGAUGGGGGGACCAUCCUCCAAGCCUAAAUACUACCUAAUGACCGAUAGCGAAUAGUACUGUGAAGGAACGGUGAAAAGAACCCCGGGAGGGGAGUGAAAAAGAACCUGAAACCCUAUGCUUACAAGCACCGAGAGCACGUCAAAGUGUGAUCGGGUACCUUUUGUAGAAUGGUCCGGCGAGUUAUUGUAUGCGGCAAGGUUAAGUGCUUAAGGCACGGAGCCGAAGCGAGAGCAAGUCUGAAUAGGGCGAAAAAGUCGUAUGCAAUAGACCCGAAACCGAGUGACCUAUCCAUGUCCAGGCUGAAGUGGAGGUAAAACUCCAUGGAGGGCCGAACACACGUCCGUUGAAAAGGCCGGUGAUGAGGUGUGGAUAGCGGAGAAAUUCCAAUCGAACUCGGAUAUAGCUGGUUCUCUCCGAAAUAGCUUUAGGGCUAGCCUCGUGAAAGAUUACUGGAGGUAAAGCACUGAAUGGGCUAGGGGUCGAAAGAUUACUGAACCCUAUCAAACUAAGAAUGCCAGAUAAUUGAUUCACGGGAGUCAGACAAUGUGAGAUAAGUCUCAUUGUCAAAAGGGAAACAGCCCAGACCCACAGCUAAGGUCCCUAAACAUUGUUAAGUGGAAAAGGAUGUGGGGUUGCAUAAACAACCAGGAUGUUGGCUUAGAAGCAGCCACUCAUUAAAAGAGUGCGUAAUAGCUCACUGGUCGAGUGACCCUGCGCCGAAAAUUCAACGGGGCUAAACAAUGUACCGAAGCUUGGGAUUCUAAAGUAAUUUAGAGUGGUAGGAGAGCGUCGAAUAAGGGGUGAAGUCAGAGCGGAAGCGCUGGUGGACUUUAUUCGAGUGAGAAUGCCGGAAUGAGUAGCGAGAAUUAUGUGAGAAUCAUAAUGGCCGAAAAUCUAAGGUUUCCUGAGGAAGGUUCGUCCGCUCAGGGUAAGCCGGGAGCUAAGGCGAGGCGGAGACGCGUAGCCGAUGCACAUACGGUUGAAAUUCCGUAGCCACCGAAAGAUUUAAGUACAGGGACGCUUUAGAAGUGAUGUUGCCGGGCGAUGGUUGACCCGGUCGUAAGGGAUCGAAAAUGAGUAGAGAAGUCAUCAUGGAAAGAGACAAGAAAAGCUGUAUGAAUAUCUUAGGUGCCCGUACCGCAAACCGACACAGGUAGAUAGGAAGAAGAUUCUAAGGCCAACGGGAGAAGGGUUGUUAAGGAACUCGGCAAGUUGACCCCGUAACUUAGGGAUAAGGGGUGCUCAAGUGAUUGAGCCGCAGAGAAUAGGCCCAGGCGACUGUUUAGCAAAAACACAGGUCUCUGCUAAAUCGAAAGAUGACGUAUAGGGGCUGACACCUGCCCGGUGCCGGAAGGUUAAGAGGAGAUGUGAGAGCAUUGAAUUGAAGCCCCGGUAAACGGCGGCCGUAACUAUAACGGUCCUAAGGUAGCGAAAUUCCUUGUCGGGU